GAUGUCAUGCAUUUUGACCGUGUACGGGGCACUUAAAAUGCGAUUAAAGUUUACUCAAAUCCAAUUUGAGAGAGAGAGAGCCUACUGCUGGGGAGAGCAAAAAUGUGCAUGGUUCACAUCGAAAGUGUUGCAGUUCAUCAAUAUCUGCUAAACAGUGCACUCGGUUAGGGGAAGUGAAGGAAAACAAACGAAUUGAAAUUUCCACAAGUUCUGCAAAGAAUGCAACUGCACACGACACCAUAAAAAAUAUAUCUGGAAAAUUCACAUUGAAUCGGAUUGCCCACAACAUAGACAGCUAUUGAAGUUGAGAAUAUCAAUCAUAAUUUGAAAAAAAUCAACCAAAAAAGUUAAUACAAAGUUUUUUACUUGUAAUUUUAAUUAAAUCGACAACAAUAAAAUGCCUUGCAAAUCCUGUGGUAUUGUUUGCAGAUGCAAUGCCGAAAAGUGUGGCGAAAACUGCCCCUGUGAUGUGUACUGUGGUUGUCCCUGUCAAACUGGAAAGAAGGAGGAUUGCUGCAAGAAGUGAUAAAUCUAUGAAUGCCCCCAAAGUUGAACUUACGCUACAUGAUCUGCAACAAUAAAUUAUUUUGAAAAUACAAAAUAAGUUUAACAUUAUAAAACAUA
This is a long non-coding RNA of Musca domestica (house fly), 624 nucleotides long. RefSeq lists it as uncharacterized. The transcript has 2 exons. Lineage: Eukaryota; Metazoa; Arthropoda; Insecta; Diptera; Muscidae. The record is from RefSeq and is a predicted model, not a curated record.